ACACGACUCUCGGCAACGGAUAUCUCGGCUCUCGCAUCGAUGAAGAACGUANCGAAAUGCGAUACCUGGUGUGAAUUGCAGAAUCCCGCGAACCAUCGAGUCUUUGAACGCAAGUUGCGCCCGAGGCCAUUCGGCCNAGGGCACGCCUGCCUGGGCGUCACGC
This 163-nucleotide ribosomal RNA is filed under the name Deschampsia cespitosa (tufted hair grass). RNAcentral describes it as "5.8S ribosomal RNA". It matches the Rfam family "5.8S ribosomal RNA". Rfam says of the family: 5.8S ribosomal RNA (5.8S rRNA) is a component of the large subunit of the eukaryotic ribosome. It is transcribed by RNA polymerase I as part of the 45S precursor that also contains 18S and 28S rRNA. Lineage: Eukaryota; Viridiplantae; Streptophyta; Magnoliopsida; Poales; Poaceae. The record is from RNAcentral.